RNAcentral lists this ribosomal RNA (443 nucleotides) under Pacifastacus gambelii. RNAcentral's name for it is "partial large subunit ribosomal RNA". The stretch from base 292 to 443 matches the Rfam family "Bacterial large subunit ribosomal RNA", at positions 2473 to 2625 of the family's 2925-position model. Lineage: Eukaryota; Metazoa; Arthropoda; Malacostraca; Decapoda; Astacidae. The record is from RNAcentral.
AUUAGUCUUUUAAUUGAAGGCUAGAAUGAAUGGUUGGACAAGAAAUAAUCUGUCUUAAAUUAAUAUAUUGAAUUUAACUUUUAAGUGAAAAGGCUUAAAUUUUCUAGAGUGACGAUAAGACCCUAUAAAACUUUAUAUUUAAAAAUAAUAAUUAAUUUUAUUUAAGAAUUUUAUUUAAAAAUAUUUUAUUGGGGUGAUAAAGAUAUAAAUUUAAAUAACUGUCUUCUUUUUUUACAAUAAUAUUUGAAUUAAUGAUCCUAAGAAAGGAGUAAAAGAUCAAGUUACUUUAGGGAUAACAGCGUAAUUUUUUUUAAGAGUUCAUAUCGACAAAAAAGUUUGCGACCUCGAUGUUGAAUUAAAAAAUCUUUAUAGAGCAGAAACUAUAAAAGAAGGUCUGUUCGACCUUUAAAAUUUUACAUGAUUUGAGUUCAGACCGGCGUGAG